Molecule: ribosomal RNA, 438 nt
Filed under: Triticum aestivum (bread wheat)
Lineage: Eukaryota; Viridiplantae; Streptophyta; Magnoliopsida; Poales; Poaceae
Description: partial small subunit ribosomal RNA
Source: RNAcentral
AUGACUAGGGAUAACCUUAGGAAGAUUCACAUCAUCAAACCCCUUGAUUGUGUUUACUGCUUGGAACAAGAGUCCUGUUCUCACCUAUUUUUUGAAUGUAUAGUUGCUAAACAUCUCUGGGCCCACAUUGAGGAAUAUUUCUCUAGUCAGAUUGGCUCAUCCUUUGAAUCUGUCACCAGAUUCUGGAUUGCUACCAAAAAGUGCUCAGCUUUAAACAUUGUUAGCUCAGCUGUCCUUUGGUGCCUAUGGAAAUAUAGAAAUGCUAUGAUUUUCAGUAACACCUCCUGGAUUUCCAUUCCGUGGGUCUUGAGGUUGAUCAGGAACAUGGUGAGGAACUGGGCGAUUCUCUCCUCCGGAUCGGACAAGGACAAGUUGAUGAGCUUCGUGGAAACCCUAACAAGAUCCCUCUAGAAACCGUUGGCUAUCACUUGUGGCUGA